GAUGAACGCUGGCGGCGUGCCUAAUACAUGCAAGUCGAGCGAACAGACGAGGAGCUUGCUCCUUCGACGUUAGCGGCGGACGGGUGAGUAACACGCAGGUAACCUACCUAUAAGACUGGGAUAACUUCGGGAAACCGGAGCUAAUACCGGAUAAUAUUUCGAACCGCAUGGUUCGAUAGUGAAAGAUGGCUUUGCUAUCACUUAUAGAUGGACCUGCGCCGUAUUAGCUAGUUGGUAAGGUAACGGCUCACCAAGGCAACGAUGCGUAGCCGACCUGAGAGGGUGAUCGGCCACACUGGAACUGAGACACGGUCCAGACUCCUACGGGAGGCAGCAGUAGGGAAUCUUCCGCAAUGGGCGAAAGCCUGACGGAGCAACGCCGCGUGAGUGAUGAAGGUCUUCGGAUCGUAAAACUCUGUUAUUAGGGAAGAACAAACGUGUAAGUAACUGUGCACGUCUUGACGGUACCUAAUCAGAAAGCCACGGCUAACUACGUG
This 497-nucleotide ribosomal RNA is filed under the name uncultured bacterium. Its description in RNAcentral is "partial 16S ribosomal RNA". It matches the Rfam family "Bacterial small subunit ribosomal RNA", at positions 28 to 507 of the family's 1533-position model. The record is from RNAcentral.